UCUCUCACACACACACACACACACACACACACACACACAAACAGUUGCUAUGAACUCUACAGGGUUGCUAGGGGAGGAGAAACAUGGCAGAUGCACCUGAUCACCACUAACGACCUGUGGAAGAGACAUGGGUUAAACUGAAUUUAGAC
Long non-coding RNA from Sphaeramia orbicularis (orbiculate cardinalfish), 149 nucleotides. RefSeq lists it as uncharacterized. The transcript has 3 exons. Lineage: Eukaryota; Metazoa; Chordata; Actinopteri; Kurtiformes; Apogonidae. The record is from RefSeq and is a predicted model, not a curated record.